Eriocheir sinensis (Chinese mitten crab) is the source of this 7230-nucleotide long non-coding RNA. RefSeq lists it as uncharacterized. Lineage: Eukaryota; Metazoa; Arthropoda; Malacostraca; Decapoda; Varunidae. The record is from RefSeq and is a predicted model, not a curated record. The transcript is spliced from 2 exons.
AUAUUCCCCAAUGAUGUCGUCCUCUUCUAUUACGGUUAAAUUGUUUCAGCCUCCCACUCUUCUUUCUUUCCUCCGUAUAGGCCGGGUACCACAGCUCUCUCAUUCUCUGCUCUAUGCUCUCCUUUGUCUCAUUCCUCACUCUCACACUCAGUCCAUCUGUUGCUCUCAGUUCACUCAACAAAUCUUUCACCCACCUACAGCUACUUGUCUCUCCUUUAUCAUCUCCUCUCCCACCCUUCUCACCAAAUCAUUUUCUCAUCCUAUACGUUCCUUCUUCACAAUAUCUCAAAAUAAAUGGGUUGCUUUCUAUCCUGCUUCCCUCAGUAAAUCUUAGCUGCCUGUGUAUCUUUAAUUACCUAGGCCAUUUUUCCUAAUGUGUUCCCCUAAACUAGUUCUAAUCACAGCCGUCAUUAACAUAUGGGUUCACCUCACCCCAGAUUCCCUUUACUCCUUGGGUUCACCUCACCCCAGAUUCCCUUUACUCCUUGGGUUCACCUCACCCCAGGAUUCCCUCUACUCCUUGGGUUCACCUCACCCCAGAUUCCCUUUACUCCUUGGGUUCACCUCACCCCAGGAUUCCCUCUACUCCUUGGGUUCACCUCACCCCAGGAUUCCCUUUACUCCUUGGGUUCACCUCACCCCAGGAUUCCCUUUACUCCUUGGGUUCACCUCACCCCAGGAUUCCCUUUACUCCUUGGGUUCACCUCACCCCAGGAUUCCCUCUACUCCUUGGGUUCACCUCACCCCAGGAUUCCCUCUACUCCUUGGGUUCACCUCACCCCAGGAUUCCCUCUACUCCUAUGGCGGGAAAUACGGUAAUCAGUAAAAUAAAAUUAGUAAAACACAACAACCCUUUAUAUGCCACUGCCUUCAUAUCACCAAGGAAAAAGAAGCCCUUGGGGUUACCUAAUAUUCAAAUCAUGGUUCAGGUAAUAGUAUUUUAAUCAAUCAACAUAACAUAACAUACACACUAACACACAGGGCAGAGGAAGCAAUGAAUCACUACCUCUGCCAAGGCAGUUUUUGAAAUAUUAACAUUUACUACAGUGGUUCCCAACACAUGGUCAUACCCGACAUGAGGGUUGCGAGUGUUUUUGAAGGUUGCUGGAGGGUCGUCGAAAAAAGCCAUAAUUAUAACUGUAUUGUACUAUAAAGGCUGAUAUCAAAAUUACAGUUAGGUCAAAUUUUGAUUUUUCAGUAAUAUAGUUGAAUUACUGCAGUAGGACAGCAUGAAGAUUCCCCUAACCACAUACUAACAAAAGCAGCAUUGUAAUAAAGCACCCAUACACAUACAAUACUCCGUACGAAUGGCAUUCACGUAUGAUAUUCGUUCACCAAGCAGACACCGAGUAGGCGGAGGAAAAAAUCACAAAUAUCUGAGAGUAUGACAUAAAUAAUCAGAAAUAAAUACUACAUGUUUACGCAUAUGGGGUCGCCAGGCCAGGGCAAGACUGUAUUUACUGCCGCAACCAGAAAAGUUUGGGAACCACUGACUUACUAACUAUUGCAUUGGGUGGAAGUGUUCAAGUCUAGAUAUACAUACUGAUGAGGGAAGGUGAAAGAGAGAGAGAGAGAGAGAGAGAGAGAGAGAGAGAGAGAGAGAGAGAGAGAGAGAGAGAGAGAGAGAGAGAGAGAGAGAGAGAGAGAGAGAGAGAGAGAGAGAGAGAGAGAGAGAGAGAGAGAGAGAGAGAGAGAGAAUCAAUAGUAGAGAAAGAUAAGGAAGAGAGGAAAAGGAAAGAUGAAAAGAAACAAAGUGAGGAAAAAAUAAAAAGUGGAGAAUAAAAGAAGAGGAAAAAACAGGGAAUAGAAGAAAAUAAAAGAGAAACAGGAAAUAAGAUAAGAGAGAAAUAAAAGAAAUUGAGAGAAAAAAUCACACCAAAAAUCAUCAAACAAAAAAAAUUACAGCCUAUAUAUAUAUAUAUACAUACCAACCUUUAAUUAAUUUUACUUUACAAAUUAGUAUUCACAAUUAUUGACGUUUACAAUUUCCAUAUGAGCAUUAAGGUACAGAGACAGAACCCAACAGUAGUAAGGGUCCAAUUCUGUACAUCACAUAUACCUUAACACACACACACACACACACACACACACACACACACACAACUAUAUAGAUAAUUAUGUGAAACUGACCUUGAUUUAGAGUUACAGAGAAGGGUAGAGUUGACAAGGAGGAUAGAAGGCAACAAACAAAAAGGAGAAAGUAAAACAAAAAUGCAUGUUUGUUACCUACACACACACACACACACACACACCAGGCUGGGAACACCUCCGAGUGGCCUCCAUCCCCCAUGCAGCACCCUGACCUUCAGACCAGAGUGUACUUCCUUCAACGUAAUAUCAACUAGAGUAGAAAUGCAAAGUUUUGGAGUCUUCUGAUUAAUGUAAAAUCACUUAGGUUUAAGGACAGACCACCAAGUCUGGACCAUGGGGUCUGUGUGGUCUGAUUUUCUAUGUAAAUCUAUGUAAAUAUAUUAAGACACGAAGGAAUAGUCAAUGUGGCUACAGUUCAUGGAAAGUCUCAUGAUAUAUAUUCUAAGCAUUAUUUUUUUAUAUCUGGAAUUUGCACAGGGAUCUGUAAGGAAGGAGGGAAUUUGUUGAGAUAGAGCUAGUGCACUAAGGCUCCACACCAUGAGGGAGCAGCACACAGAGCAAGGGUGCCGGCACAUGGGACACUUUCAGAGGCCCGUGCCUGCCACUACAAGCAGUAGGCAUCAAAAUACUGGCAAACAUUAUCAUCUUGUCCCUGCACAUGAGGCACUUUUCUGGUGGCCACUGAUCAAUUUUCUAAUAUUGUUACCAAAGACUCUGAGUAAUGUAACGGGUACACCCCUGAAGCCUUACCCUGACUAUUAUGCUACUUCAGGAUGACUGAAGAAACAUUAAAUAAUCUGAUUACAAUAAUUAAACCUAAGAUAUCACAUCAGAUGCAAACAUAACGAUAUGUGUGCCAACUGAAAAAGGCAAUCAGUGACCUUAAGGUUACAAUUAAAAUUCCAAUCAUCCACCUUCCAUGAGCCAUCAUGACAGAAACAGUAUGCCUGACUCCUCUUCCAAUCAGUCACCUAAUGAACAAAAAGUGGGAGUCUCGGCCACAAAAAGUGUGUCGUGUGCACGCUGUGAUUUGAAACAGAGGUUUCUAUCGCCAGCCACUGGUGGUGAGCCUCUGUGCUGUGGACGAGAAAAUGGACUCAGCAUCUACUUUGUAACCACUCUUUUGGCAGCGUCCACAAACAGUGGCUCGUGUGCGACCUUCCACACAAACAUGUGUGUUUCAUUUAUCCAUUUGUAGUGGCAGCUGCCGGCCAAUAAAAUGUGUCUUCUGUGCAGACAGCCUAAGGUACAGACACACUGGGGGUGAUAAGCCAUGAUGGCAUCAGCUCAAGUUGCAAGAGCUAAUUUUCUGUGCCAUUUUUCUCAGCCAGUGUUGGUCUGUGUGCUGGGGCAGUGAAGCCUGGCGGAGGUGUUCUGAGGGUGGUGUCAGGCUGGGCUGUGUUAGUUACAAUGGGAUGUACAGUACUGGCCUCUGUGACCACCAUAAUGGCAGACAAUUUGUAUGCUUUGUGUGGUCACACAGAGUAAAAUACACAAUUAUUAAUAACAACUUGGUGUGCUCCCUGAUGUCAUCCGGCUGACUGGGCUGUGGUGCAGCCACGGGCCCACUCAGCGCCACCAAGUGUGCUGCAGGACAGUGGUGCAGCACAGGGGUGUACAGCCAUGAGGCUUGGCUGUGACCAGUGGUGCUUCAGAGGUAGGAGGGGAGGGGAUGAGUCACCCACUGCCACCACCACAACCACCACCUCCACCUCCACCCUGCAGUCCCAAGGGAAGGGAGGAAUUCAGCCUUGAUGGGUAACCAGAAGCUUUGGAUAAGUGUGAGGGACUAUAUCCUUUCAAGAUCAACAGAGCAUCACACCAAGCAGUUUCUCAUCUAACAUGUAUAGGGCCCAAUAAAUUCCAUAUAAAAAUAAUCAGUUAACUUUUAGUCAUUUUUUGAAAGAAUACAUGAUGGGCCUGGCAUUCCCCUUACAAAAACAGGCCAGAGUGCCAGCAGCCAAGUGGGCACAAAACUUGCCCCGGGUGUGUUGGUUGAUCACAGCCAGGUGUGGGCCGCUGAGCCUCGCCCUCCCCCAGUCAGGCCAAGUGUGCAUGCCCACCACACCCACACCCAGACACACACCCUUGUUUUGUAUGCAUGUUCUGUACAGUCUUUACAAAAAGUAUCAAGUAGUAUUUGAGUGAAAACUAAAGACAUUGUGUUGUGUUGGUUUGUUUGGUACCAAUGGGUUGGUACCCAAAACAGUUGUGUUGUUUAGGUUUCACUCAAAUUUGAUGUUCAGUAUUUUUUUGACAACUGUACCCCCACCAGUUUUGUAAGCACUUUCCAAUUGGUACUCACGUCAGGGAAUAAAGACUCGGGAUAACUGAACAAGACUAAAAAUAUAUUCAAAAUAGAGAUUCUCAAACUGUAUCUAUGUAACAGAGAUGAGCUCGCAUCUGAAGUGCAUGCCUCCAACUUUACUUUUAUGAAACUGACCCUCAGAGAAUAUUCAGACAAGAAGGCGUGGCAGACCUGGCUGCCUGAACCUGUGCUUGGUGGCAGCAGCUCCAGCCCAGAGUGCACCAAGAACACAGUGUUGCAGCACUGGGAAAAUAACACAGCUGCCGCCAGGAAAACAACACUCAUGCACUAGAGAUAAAUUUUCCCAGAGUAUUUCCUCCCCUGACAUAAGCAACAAUGGUGAGGGUGCACAGGCCGGUGAACAUCUCACCCUCACGUGUGUACAAAAAUAAGGCUGCGUCGCCUCACAGCCGCGGCGAUGGACCGAUGCCCGGCCGGCCAGGAACUUGUGUUUCUAUAGUAAAAUACUUACAUACAAAUGUAUUUAAAUGCAAAAUAUUCUUCACUCUAUUACUCUAUAUACACUAUGAAUAACUGUAUAUUAUGUAUAAUUGCAUUAUGUAAAUGUAUGUACUCUAUGUAUAUCUACAUCUUGUAUAAAGAAUAAAGAACAAGUCAGAUCACUAAGUGUGUGCAGCAGAGCACCCUGCUGACUGCUUUUCACCCUUGUGCUGCGGUGCAACCCUCGUGUCUGGACAGUCACCCCAAACACACACACGGGUCCACAUAUCCCCGGCGUGCCCACCAACACCCUCCGUGGGCAGCUUUGGAGGGUGUAGGAUGCCCACAGAAGUGACUUACUACAUAAACAUCACGGUGCAGAGCAGUGCACUUUGCAGGUGACUGUGAUGCUUCAUGCCGUUUUCAGGCAACAGAAAAUAGUUUUUACUGCAUUUGUUUUCAUCACAUGACAAAGUGGACUGAAGGUGUAGGGGAAUCCUUUGCUCAGGGAUUGUGCUAAGUUUACAAGUGUGGGGGCAUGACUGAAUAAUGCCAGGCAGCCCAGCACAGGGGGAGUGUUAUGUCUGUACAAACUAUUCUCCUCACCACACAGGGAGGAGUGUUAUGUCUGUACAAACUAUUCUCCUCACCACACAGGGAGGAGUGUUAUGUCUGUACAAACUGUUCUCCCCGCCACACAGGGAGGAGUCAGAUCAGCAGACAGAUCACUGAGAGGAGAAGGCAGCAGUAUCUGGGGUUUGUGCCUCAGGACACACUACCAUACUGGUCUUGCAGCGAUGACGCUUUGUGUUGGUGUGGAGGGCUUGCUGUCGAGGCACCGAUGAAAGCCUUCAUAUACUUGACAGGUAGUGUGUUAUUUAGUAGAGUUGUUUAACCCCUUUUGAUUGCAAAAGUUUUCUCGGGAGAUCCCCCUUGAACGAAAAAGUUGGCAGAAAAUGAACUUUGAAACUGAGAAAACGUCAUAAAAAAUGUUUAGUAGAAAAUUUUCUGGCCCACCCUGCUAUGAAAUCUGUUUCUUUCUAGGUUGUCGCAUUUGCCUGGAAUUCUAUGAUUCCCCCCAAAAUUACAACUUUUUACUGGUACAACAUUAUCUGUAUAACUCAACUGUGAAAUUAGAUUAUUAUUUGGACAGACCGUUUAGCUGGAAUUCCAUGAUUCCCCAAAAAUUUCAACUUCCGUUUCCCACUACUCUGAACGAGAUAUUGGUUCAUCAAGAACAUCACGUAUAUCAGUGGAGGUGUCAAGACUACGCUUACCACGCACACUACGAGCAGAAACUAAAGGAACACCGCCGAAAAAGGACGGCCGAGGGAACAGAAUCGCUCUAUAGACGCUAUGAUGCGCAGGCAGGAACUGUAGACUAUUUUUAGCACGGAAUGGUGGUAGGGGACGUCACAGAAAUAAAAGAGGUCCCAGUUAGUCAUUAGCAUCGACAGAGACCUAGUUACACGCGCCCUUCAAAUUCCGGAAAGCUUCUCAUUUUCCGACGCUGGCGUCAUGCUCGUUGCCCACGUCUGCUAGAACUAUAUGACGCCAGCGGCAUCAUGAUCAUUAAGGGGUUAAUAAUGUUUUUUGAUAGAGCUGUUUGAUAAUGUGUUGCUUGAUGUUAAGAGUUCAGGCAUAGCACAGACAACCUGAUACUUAUGCUUUACACACUACCAAUGCAGAUCUGUUGUUUAAAGCCAAAACAUGAGGAGAAUCACUACAUCUAUACCACAGGCAGCUUGAUCCUAAUAGACAGUGACUCCUGACGUCUAUAAACUACUCAAUGCCAAUAUAAAUAUCUUUGACUACACAAAUAAUGAUCAUUUCACUUAUAUAUUAUUAUUCUUUCUAGCAUCUAUAAAGUACUCAAUGCCAAUAUAAAGAUGUUUGAUGUCAUGAAAAAUAAAAUCGUUUCACUUAUCAUUAAACUUUCUGGCAUUUAUAAACUACAUCUGAUGCCAAUAUAAAAAGACUGAACGCCAGGAAAAAUAUAAUUAUUUUAGUUAUAUUAUUACACCUUUGGACAUCUAAAAACUACUCAAUGCCAAUAUGAAGAGGUUUAACACCACAAAAUAAAAUCGUUUCACUUAUUAUCACACUGACAUUUAUAAACUACUCAAUGCCAAUAUGAAGAUGUUUGAUGCCAUGUAAAAUAAAAUCGUCUCACUUAUUAUCACAUUGACAUUUAUAAACUACUCAAUGCCAAAUAUGAAGAUGUUUAACACCAUAAAAUAAAAUCGUCUCACUUAUUAUCACACUGACAUUUAUAAACUACUCAAUGCCAAUAUGAACAUGUUUAACACCAUAAAAUAAAAUCGUCUCACUUAUUAUCACACUGACAUUUAUAAACUACUCAAUGCCAAUAUGAACAUGUUUGAUGCCAU